Cyanistes caeruleus (blue tit) is the source of this 521-nucleotide non-coding RNA. The record is from RefSeq and is a predicted model, not a curated record. Lineage: Eukaryota; Metazoa; Chordata; Aves; Passeriformes; Paridae.
UUCAGUCACUUGCCCAUUGCCAUGACAGAAGCAUUGAUUUGUAUCUUUUAGAGAUCCAUAAGUGCAGACUGGAGCUCCAGUGGCACGGGUGGAUGGAAGCACUUCUGUAAGAAUGGGUAAAUGCAAUCAAUAAUGCCACCUGACAUCCAGGAGAGAAGAAAUAUCUUUACAACAUCAAGCAAUGCAAUCUGAUCCAUGUUUGGGGUAUUGGGAGACUCAUCAAAUAUCUGUGCAACGAGCAGGAAUUGAUUUUCCAGUCCCUGCCCACCUGAUGUGAAUGUGUGUGUGCAUCACUGAGGAGCAUUCAUGCAAACUUUGUCUGCUGAGCUGGUGUAGCUCUUUCAAGAGACUCUUCUGAAGCCUGGUUUGAUUUGGAGGGGGAAAAGGGCUCAAGAUAACAGAAAACUUCCAGGUUCAUACUGACACUUCAGAGAACUUCCAGAAUUAACAGCAUCAUUUGUAUAAUCUGACAGGAAAAGAAUUUGUUUAUUGUGUAGAAAAAUUGCAUGCAGAAAAUACAU